UCAGUCACUGUGGGUGUCUCUAGAUGGAACCCUGAGCAUUUAUUCAUAUGGUGUUUUUGGCAGCUUCUGAGCUCCUCCUAGAUGGCAGUGACCCAGGCCAGACGCAGGGAUGGGCUGCUUUGUGAGAGAGCACUGAAGGAUAUGCAGGUGCUUCCAGGAAUCACCUCUAAAUGCUUACACUCAAAACCUUGCAUCAGAUUUUGCUUCUAGAGGAGCAAGAUACUUCCCAUCUAAAUUGAGUCUCCUUGGGCCGGCCGAGUGGCGCAUUGGUUAAGAGCUGACUUGGGACG
Hipposideros armiger (great roundleaf bat) is the source of this 290-nucleotide long non-coding RNA. RefSeq lists it as uncharacterized. The record is from RefSeq and is a predicted model, not a curated record. The transcript is spliced from 3 exons. NCBI's taxonomy places the organism in Eukaryota, Metazoa, Chordata, Mammalia, Chiroptera, Hipposideridae.